RNAcentral lists this unclassified non-coding RNA (231 nucleotides) under Hevea brasiliensis (rubber tree). The record is from RNAcentral. Lineage: Eukaryota; Viridiplantae; Streptophyta; Magnoliopsida; Malpighiales; Euphorbiaceae.
AAUAAGAUAGCAAAGAAGAUGAGCAGAAGUGUGGGAAAGAGAGAGUUGUUGCUCCACAGAGGAUUCACCAUUUUGACAUAGAUUCUAUGGAUAUAGCUACUUCUUAGAUCUUGCUUUCGUUUUUGGAUUUGGAUAGACUCUAAUGUUCUUGGAAGAUUCGUAGACUUGUUAAAAUACUUCCACAUGUAUUAUUGUCUCUGUACUGUUUGACACGUGAAAUGUAUGUCUGAG